CCAUUAAUAUAUACAUAAGAGUAUGUAUACAAUCGUAAAAGUAUAAUACUCAGUCUGUUAGGACGCGAAAACAUAAAUAGAAAUGUUUAUUGCUUAUCUGCUUGUGUGAAGAAUGAAUGAAGUGGAGGAGUAUGAUGAGAUGGAGGUAUGUUUGAUAGUUGUGUAUAUAUUGAGCAGACGACAGAAAUAGCGGGUUUUCCCAGAAAAAACCCUAACCUAAAAAGAGGGGUAUGUAACGGUUUAUCGUUAUCUCUAACAAAAAUCCUAUUAAAUAAAAAUAAAUAAUUAACCAAAAUAUAACUAUAAACUACUAUAAUACAUUUUUACAUACAUUCUUCUAAAUAAAAUAUUCAAGAACUUAAAAAAUAAAAAACAAUGUAAAAUAAAUAUACGUACAAACAGAAUUGACGAUUGCAUUUGUUAUUAGUUAAAACUAGAUGCGAAUACAAAAGACUACGUCACCGCUCCAGAUAAGCGAUAGGCGCUGGUCAACGUAUGAGGCGCAUUCGCGCUGGCAUUCCCUACCACGGCUCCGACAGCGAAAGGUCAAGUUACCUAAAACUCUCAUAACGUCAGACGACAUGGAGUGACAAAUUUAUUUUAAUUUUUACUACAAUUAAAUGUGUUAAGUGCCAGUUUUUCCCCAAAUAGGGGAACAAGUCUGGGGUCGUUAACUGGACCCACAAUUUGGAUGCGCGCGCGCCUGCACACGUUCCGGAAGGUUCCGGAAGGAAGACUGGCGAUCCGGAACGGCCUCUGAUGACGGCCACGCCCAGUACGACUUCGGCGGCGUAGUGCAGGGAAGUGACCCCUAACAAGGGCUUGUUUCUUCUUUUAUUGUAACCGGCCAGCUCAGGAAAUACCUACCCACGAUCCUGGAUAAAUAGAUAGGUUUUUUUAUUUAAAAUAUAGUUUGUAAAAUUUUUC
Long non-coding RNA from Leguminivora glycinivorella, 927 nucleotides. RefSeq lists it as uncharacterized. The record is from RefSeq and is a predicted model, not a curated record. The transcript is spliced from 2 exons. NCBI's taxonomy places the organism in Eukaryota, Metazoa, Arthropoda, Insecta, Lepidoptera, Tortricidae.